Piliocolobus tephrosceles (Ugandan red Colobus) is the source of this 3025-nucleotide long non-coding RNA. RefSeq lists it as uncharacterized. Lineage: Eukaryota; Metazoa; Chordata; Mammalia; Primates; Cercopithecidae. The transcript has 5 exons. The record is from RefSeq and is a predicted model, not a curated record.
UACAGAUCCACUCUGGACUACACCAUACAACGUCUGGGGAUUCUCAUUGACCUCCAGAAGAAAGAGGCAGUGCAUGCCUGGCUGCAAGCAGGGAAGAUCUACUACAUCCUGCGGCAGAGCGAGCUGGUGGACCUGUACAUCCAGGUGGCACAGAAUGUGGUCCUGUACACAGGCGACUCCAACCUGGGCUGGAGCUGUUUGAGGCAGCUGGAGACAUCAUCUUCAAUGGGGCCUGGGAGCGGGAGAAAUCCGUGUCCUUCUACCAGAUGAGGAAGCUGAGGCUCAGAGAGGCACAGAGACAUGUCAAAGGACACACAGCAUGUCAGUAGGAGACCCAGGUCCCAGAUCUGCAUGCACCCCGAAACGGGGCCGGCUUCUCCCUUCCUCAGAGCUCACGGACCGGGUCCUGCCCCUAGCAGUGACUACGGGCAACUCCAAGGGGAGCCGCAGCUGUGCAACAAGCCGGUGGCACUGCUGGCCAUGCUGGAGGAGCCCCAGGAGGGCUUGGAAUUUGCCCACAUGGCCCUAGCUGUCAGCAUCACUCUGGGGGACCAGCUGAAAGAGCGCGUGGCCUACUAACGACUGGCCGCCCUGCACCACCAGCUGGGCCAUGGGAAGCUGGCAGAGUACUUCUACCUCACGGCCCUGUAGCUCUGCAACUCGCCGCUGGAGUUUGACGAGGAGACCCUCUACUACAUGAAGGUGUACCUGGUGCUCGGUGACAUCAUCGUCUACGACCUGAAGGUUGGUGGGGAGGGACAGGGCUGAAGGUGGGUGGGGAGGGGCAGGGCUCUGGGAGUUCCUGGCCCCCUUGGAGUGGAAUCUCCACCCAGACCCCAGGGGUCUGGGUUCCCGCCUUCCUUAGGAAUGGGCCAGUGGCUUCCCUGGAGCUCUGCACCCAGCUAGAGGAGCCGGCAAGGUUAGCAGAUACAACCCAGCUCCCAAGCUGGCCAGGCCCCACCCUCAAGAACUCAGUCUCAACCAGGGAGGCUGACACACGAGUGGGCAAUGGUGGUUUCUGGGUAAAGAAGGGGGAUUGUAGUCAGGGGGACCCUCCUGGAGGAGGUGACACCAAACUGAGUCUUGACAGUCAAGUGUCAAGUUACAUUUAACAAAGAAAACAGGGUCGGGAGAAGGACAUUUUGGAGGACGGCAUCAUCCUCACAUUGAAUCCACGAUGCAAGAUCCAACCCAAAUCCCGGUGCCUCCUCUAGGAAGCCUGCCCAGGGUGCCAGCCUGCACAGAGCAACUCCUUCCUGGAGUCCCGAGACACCUGGAAUCUUCACAUCACCCAGGAAGGGUGGGGUGGGGCCGGUCUCUUACCAUCGGGUUCACAGACAGGGGAACCCCAGCUCACGGCAGGUGCAGUGGGGUGGGGCCCCAGCCAGCCAGGCUGAGACCUUGCUGGGUCAGAUCUGUCUCGAGGGGAGGUUCUGUGCUCCGUCUGCCCCCAGCCCUGCAGGGGUGGAGAGCUGGGACUAACAGACUCAGACCUGGGGUGUCUCCACCCUCUGCCCAGCAGGCACCCGCCCCUCCUCCGCAUUGCACCGGCACCGUGUCAGUAAUCCUUAUGGGCUGAGGGGCCAGGGCGCUUUAGUCCAGGGACCAAGAUCUUGGGGGCCUUAGAACAACAUGAGGAACUGGUGCAGCCCUAACACCCCGCCCUGUAUCCCUCACCACAGGCCUGGGGCUGCCCGGGAGGCCCCCGACCAGUGCUGGCGACACCUGGUGGUCAAAAGCGGUCCCUGUGGCCUCCCGGGUCCCAGCCAGACAGGGGGGUGCCAGGUGUCAGGCCCAGAGGGACGCUGCUCACCGCUCAGGGUGUCGCCUGGGACCAAGGGACGGGCCUCCCAGAAGUGGCCCUUUAUCUCUCUUGGUCAAGCCUGCCGCCCACCCCACCUGCCCAAGAGGAAGGAAACGGCCAAGUAGUACCUGAGAGCCCAUGGUUGGGGGCGAGGGGCAGAGGCCUCCUUCACCUCCUUCUCGAGCACAGCCCUCCGGGACUCCUCGUGAAGGUGCUGUCAGCCCAGGCCAGCUUCCCACAGGGAGGCCCCCUCGGAAUUCCCCAAGGGCGGCUGUCUUUCCAAGGCCACACCCUCCUCCUUGUAUAGGAGGCUCUGGACCCGGGGCCCAGAGGAGUGGGAGAGAAAGCUGGGCUGGAUGGGGCCUGGAAGGCUGGCGGAGAGGCAGGGUAAAUGGGCAUCCUUGUCGAUUGCCUCUAAAAUGGGGUCCCCUUUAGUCUACACAUGAGUGAGCCCUGGAAUAGGGUGGAUUAGGUGUGUCCUGGCUCAGCCUGCCACUCACUAGCUGCUGCACACACUACAGGCACAUGGAAAUGCACACGCAAAUGCACACAGACACAGGCACACGCACAGACACGCACAGUCAGGCACACAAACACGCACAGGCACACGCAGAGUCAUAUGCUUUUGCUGGCUGCUUCCUGUGUAGUUAGGCAGCCCCACCCCUUCAGGAAGCCCUUGCCUCCCACCCCCGGCGGAGUCAGGGGCCUCCUGGGCUUCCCUCUGCCACAGCCUGGGCCGCCUUUGUGGUCAGUGUUCAGUCCCAGGUCCCUCAGACUGGGAGCCGAGGAUGUUAGGCUCAGCCAUGCACCCAGCACAGAGUCCAGUGUUCGGCUGGGCCGGGGGGCAUUGGAUGAGCAGUUGCGGUGACUCAGGGCCUUUUCACGCCCCUGCUCCGUGUGUGGGGUGGGGCAGUGAGGGAAUGGACUGCUGCAUCUUGGACUUUGUCCUUGGCCCUGGGAGCCGUCUUGAAGAGGGACAGGCCAGGCCUGGGUCUUAGCGACAUCCCUUGGGUGUCCCCCAUGUGGAGGAGGCGCCUGGGGGGGAGAUGGGAGGGUGAAGGUGGAGGUCUGGGAGGCAGCAUCCCAACCCAGGAAUGGUGAGUUUGAGCCAAACAUGCAUUGAAAAUGGGAGUGGAUGUCUGGGGAGUCACACUCUGUCAAUAGUUCAGGGAACAUUGCAAGGGAGGACACCUGUGAGAUGGUUUUGUACCUGGCCUGGCC